Molecule: non-coding RNA, 125 nt
Organism: Notechis scutatus (mainland tiger snake)
Lineage: Eukaryota; Metazoa; Chordata; Lepidosauria; Squamata; Elapidae
Source: RefSeq, a predicted model, not a curated record
ACUGCAUCCGGUUUUGGUCACCAUGAUGUAAAAAAGAUUGUCAUUAGAUACCUGGAUCAUACUACCACAUGCGGUGGAUGUGUGUGGAAGCCAAGAGAUACUAGGCUAAAAUUCAUACAUGGCUG